GAUGAAAGACGUGAUAAGCUGCGAAAAGCCACGGGGAGGUGCACAUAACCUUUGAUCCGUGGAUGUCUGAAUGGGGAAACCCGGUACGGAAAACCCGUAUCAACCAUAGCCCAAUACAUAAGCUAUGGUGGGGAACCGCCUGAACUGAAACAUCUAAGUAGGGCGAGGAAGAGAAAACAACAUGUGAUUUUGUGAGUAGCGGCGAGCGAAAGCGAAAGAGGGCAAACCGGUGUGCGUGCAUGCCGGGGUUCGGACUGCAUAAUUGAUUCAACGAUUCUAGCAGAACGGUUUUGGGAAAGCCGGCCAGAGAGGGUGAAAGCCCCGUAAGCGAAAGGAAAGUUGACAUGGCAGUAUCCAGAGUACAUCGAGACACGUGAAACCUUGAUGGAACGCGCGGGGACCACCCCGUAACCCUAAAUACUCCUUAGUGACCGAUAGCGCAUAGUACUGUGAAGGAAAGGUGAAAAGGACCCCGGGAGGGGAGUGAAAGAGAACCUGAAACCCUGUGUUUACAAGCUGUGGAAGAUCCUUAUGAGAUCAACCGCGUACUUUUUGUAGAACGGUCCGGCGAGUUACGCUUACUGGCGAGGUUAAGCACUUAAGGUGUGGAGCCGAAGGGAAACCAAGUCUUAAUAGGGCGACUAGUCAGUAGGAGUAGACCCGAAACCGGGUGAUCUAUCCAUGGUCAGGUUGAAGCUGCCGUAAGAGGUAGUGGAGGACCGAAGCCACAUCCGUUGAAAAGGGUGGGCAUGAACUGUGGAUAGGGGAGAAAUUCCAAUCGAACCCGGAGAUAGCUGGUUCUCCUCGAAAUAGCUUUAGGGCUAGCCUCGGUUUAGUCUGGUGGAGGUAGAGCACUGAAUUUCUGCGGGGGCGUCAAAGCUUACCAAGGGAUAUCAAACUCCGAAUGCCAUACAGAUGAUGACCGGGAGUCAGACUACACGAGAUAAGUUGGGUAGUCAAAAGGGAAACAGCCCAGACCUACAGCUAAGGUCCCAAAGUACGUGUUAAGUGGAAAAGGAUGUGGGAAUUCGAAGACAACUAGGAUGUUGGCUCAGAAGCAGCCAUUCAUUCAAAGAGUGCGUAACAGCUCACUAGUCGAGAGUUCCUGCGCCGAAAAUGUCCGGGGCUAAAACACGACACCGAAGCUUAGGAAUUAC
Molecule: ribosomal RNA, 1157 nt
Filed under: Agathobacter ruminis
Lineage: Bacteria; Bacillati; Bacillota; Clostridia; Lachnospirales; Lachnospiraceae
Description: partial 23S ribosomal RNA
Rfam family: Bacterial large subunit ribosomal RNA
Source: RNAcentral